This 425-nucleotide ribosomal RNA is filed under the name uncultured bacterium. RNAcentral describes it as "partial 16S ribosomal RNA". It matches the Rfam family "Bacterial small subunit ribosomal RNA", at positions 354 to 796 of the family's 1533-position model. The record is from RNAcentral.
GUGGGGAAUAUUGCACAAUGGGGGAAACCCUGAUGCAGCGACGCCGCGUGGAGGAUGACGGCCUUCGGGUUGUAAACUCCUUUUGUCAGGGACAAUGGUGAUGGUACCUGACGAAUAAGCCACGGCUAACUCUGUGCCAGCAGCCGCGGUAAGACAGAGGUGGCGAGCGUUGUUCGGAAUUACUGGGCUUAAAGGGCGCGUAGGCGGUGGUGUAAGUCUGGGGUGGAAUGCUACAGCUCAACUGUAGAGCUGCCUUGGAAACUGCAUUACUUGAGUCGGUGAGGGGAAGGCGGAAUUCCUGGUGUAGCGGUGAAAUGCGUAGAUAUCAGGAGGAAGGUCUGUGGCGAAGGCGGCCUUCUGGCACUUGACUGACGCUGAGGCGCGAAAGCGUGGGGAGCAAACAGGAUUAGAAACCCUGGUAGUCC